GCGUUGAACCUCCCGCAGUCUAUCCCCUUUGCGUUAGUUCCACUUCCACAUUGCUCCACCUCCCUUGGCUCCUCACCUCCAAGAACGCGCGCAGCACCAAAUGCAGCCGCCUAUUCCCCUUCCACUUUCACUUUAAUUCCCAACCAAUCUGGCCUUCGCUACUCUAUCUUCUUGGUUCGCAUCUCCAAAUCUGACACCAGUGGGAGAUGCGGCCUCCCACGCUCGCAAGCGACGCCAAAUCGGCGGCUGCCCGUCCAUGAGUACUCGCCUCCCUCCGGUGGGAAUCAGUGCCCAGCUGGCCUGAUGUUGUUGCUGAUGUGCUCUUCCUGUAGUUCAACGCGGCGUGCCUCGUCGGCAGGCCGACAGCGCCGGUUGCCGAACUCUAGCCCUUGGGCGGAGAGGUAGGGGUCUCCGACGUUCGUCUCCCAGGAACGCUGUGGUGGAAGGAUGUUGUUCGGCACCACUGACCAUGCCCUCAGAGGCGCAGCGGUGGGGAUCAGGAGUAGGCUUCUAUAUAUAUUUGAGAUGAGGCUAUGGAGCAGAUUGUCAAGUAUAUCAACCAGAGAUACAAGAAUACAUCUGUGUAUGUUUCUGACAAUGUUUACUUGCAAAACGGUGAAGCAGUAUGGAGGACUUGAUCGUUGACACCAGAAGAAAUCAGUACCUGCAGGGCAGCAGGUGUAUCUUACAUCUAUCUCUUCAGCAGUCACCAGUCAGGUACGUGUAAUGGAACUAUGUAUGUGCAUUCUAUUAAUUUUGCAUCUGACGGAGAAACACAUCGAUCAUAUUCUUAAUUCAUGCGUGUUAUGCCGUUCUGACAUACUUCACCCAUGACACUUUUUUUUACAUAUAAACUAAACCAGAAAAAGAUUCUGCAAAUAGUGUGUUUCUCUCAUGCUCAUUCUGUUAGCCUACAUACCUCUUUAGAGAGCACAAGCUCCCAUAUCUGAAUUUUAUUUUCGACAUUGAGUUAUCAUAAGCGUAUUCUGUUAGUCUACUUACUAAUUUAGAGAGCAUGGGAAUAUGAUCCUGAUGGCUUCUAUUUGUUACAGUUGAAAAAUAUGAUACGAUACGUAGAUAGCUUAUAUUCAGAUUUGUUCAGAUCUCACCUGUCACAAGUGUCGGACAAUUUUCUUCUGAUGGCAAGGAUGUAGGACUAUUUGGUGGUCCUUGCUGCAUAAUAUUGUUGCCGCUCCCAUUAAUAAACAAGUAUAGGACGAGACAAAAUUUUCAGCGGGUGGCUCAAACGGGGUGGUCCAUGCAUACAACAGUCUUACCCUGCCCUCCCGAAUUCUUCAUUUCCUUAGCUUCUACAUUCAACCAACUGAACUUACCAUUUUUUAUGGUAUAAGCAUGGAUGAGUUGAUUGGCUCCGUUCACUUUAUUUCUCCUACUUAUAGGAGCGUCAGUGGUUUUAAUCGUGCUGCCAUUGCCUGGCACUUGGUGAGAGACCUAUGUGAUAUUAGAGCACUUUCAUGUAACCUCUUUUGAGGUACCUCUAUUCAGGUACAGUUUCUAAAAGAAUAGAUAAGUUGCAUCACUGAGAGGUAAAGGUUUUGCUUUUUUGGCAACAAUCGACAUAUUUGGACAAAGUCCAUGUGUAAUAGUGUUACUUUACUGGGGUUUUGUCGUACAUUUAUUUGAUCCGUUUGAUUGGUGAUAUAUCAGUAUCUCAUUUGGUUGGUACUGCAUAUUUGAACAAUGGACACAUUAUCGCAGUUUCAUCUGGUAGUAUUUUCACAUUGCACAUAAACCAUACACUUGCAAUUUGAGUUCACAAGUUUUACUUGAUUGCUCAUUUUAAUCAAAGCACUAUUAAUCUCUACUUUGGCAACACCCCACCAUUAACUUCCUUUAUAUUUAGCUUAGUGAUGGUAAGAAUUAUUUUUGUAUUUAGCUGAAUACAAGGUGCAGACAACUUUGUCAGGAAAAAAAGAUCGAAAAGGGUAAUAACAAUAAUUAUUUUUUCCAACAGAGCCAAGCAACCUAUUAGUAAGUCCAUUGCUUUCUUAACUCUAGCAAGUCAAUUUAGCUGUCUUUUGUUUGCGGAAAUUCCAUUUAAGUGUCAGUAUUUAUUUUAAUAUUAUUUGAAUUUAUAUAAAUUGUAUGAAACUAUGCAUGUGUUAUUUUUGUUAGGUUGCACAUGUGUACGCAUCAAUAGGUCCUUAUAAAAUGUUCCGCAGCAACGCGCGGGGUAUCAUCUAGUUCUCCUAAUGAUGUGAUCCCGUUAUCAAUGACAUCUAAUGUCCAUGGUCAGGAAACCAUAACCAUCUAUUGAUCAUCGAGCUAGUCAACUAGAGGCUCACUAUG
Long non-coding RNA from Triticum aestivum (bread wheat), 2310 nucleotides. RefSeq lists it as uncharacterized. The transcript has 3 exons. The record is from RefSeq and is a predicted model, not a curated record. Lineage: Eukaryota; Viridiplantae; Streptophyta; Magnoliopsida; Poales; Poaceae.